CCUACGGGUGGCAGCAGUGGGGAAUAUUGCACAAUGGGGGAAACCCUGAUGCAGCGACGCCGCGUGAGUGAAGAAGUCUUUCGGUACGUAAAGCUCUAUCAGCAGGGAAGAAAAUGACGGUACCUGACUAAGAAGCCCCGGCUAACUACGUGCCAGCAGCCGCGGUCAUACGUAGGGGGCACGCGUUAGCCGGAUUUACUGGGGGUAACGGGAGCGUAGACGGCAGCGCAAGUAUGGAGUGAAAGCCCAGGGCUUAACCAUGGAACUGCUUUGGAAACUGUGCAGCUGGAGUGCAGGAGAGGUGAGCGGAAUUCCUAGUGUAGCGGUGAAAUGCGUAGAUAUGAGGAGGAACACCAGAGGCGAAGGCGGCUUACUGGACUGUAACUGACGUUGAGGCGCGAAAGCGUGGGGAGCAAACAGGAUUAGAUACCCGAGUAGUC
RNAcentral lists this ribosomal RNA (440 nucleotides) under uncultured bacterium. RNAcentral describes it as "partial 16S ribosomal RNA". It matches the Rfam family "Bacterial small subunit ribosomal RNA", at positions 338 to 795 of the family's 1533-position model. The record is from RNAcentral.